AAAAUUUCUUAAAGCUUGUGAGAGUGGAUUAGAUCAAUCAUUCAUGGUGGAUGGUAGAUUUGGAUUGAAAAUAGUGUAAAAAACAUCACAGAUACUGCCAAAUAAUGCUUUUGGCGUUGCAUUCAAAUUAUGGAAUCCAAGCCGAAGUUAGGAGGCAGCAUCUUCCGUCACCAAGAUCUGCUGCUUUAUACGGGAAUGCCUGCAAUGGGACUACAUGGACCAGCUCCCCAGUUACUAAGUGAUGCAGGACACAUACCCUGAAGAGCGAUAUUCCCGGCUUUGCUUCCAGCCGACGAAAUUUACCAGCAGUUAUCCUGUUCCUUCUGUGAUUUUAAUGAAAUAUAGGUUUUAAUAAAUAUAUCGUUGUUUAUCCUACCGUUUA
Molecule: long non-coding RNA, 382 nt
Organism: Aedes aegypti (yellow fever mosquito)
Lineage: Eukaryota; Metazoa; Arthropoda; Insecta; Diptera; Culicidae
Exons: 2
Source: RefSeq, a predicted model, not a curated record